CAAAGAGCUGAGUCUCCUUCAUCAUGGCAGCUCCAUCUCUCCUGUUAACACCACCUGGACCAGACUGAGGAGGAGGAGGAGAGAGACAGGUCAAAGAGCUGAGUCUCCAUCUCUCCUGUUAACACCACCUGGACCAGACUGAGGAGGAGGAGGAGAGAGACAGGUCAAAGAGCUGAGUCUCCAUCUCUCCUGUUAACACCACCUGGACCAGACUGAGGAGGAGGAGAGAGACAGGUCAAAGAGCUGAGUCUCCAUCUCUCCUGUUAACACCACCUGGACCAGACUGAGGAGGAGGAGAGAGACAGGUCAAAGAGCUGAGUCUCCAUCUCUCCUGAUAACACC
Long non-coding RNA from Oncorhynchus keta (chum salmon), 342 nucleotides. RefSeq lists it as uncharacterized. The record is from RefSeq and is a predicted model, not a curated record. NCBI's taxonomy places the organism in Eukaryota, Metazoa, Chordata, Actinopteri, Salmoniformes, Salmonidae. The transcript is spliced from 3 exons.